This 87-nucleotide transfer RNA is filed under the name Pseudoscardovia suis. Its description in RNAcentral is "tRNA-Leu". It matches the Rfam family "tRNA". From Rfam's summary of the family: Transfer RNA (tRNA) molecules are approximately 80 nucleotides in length. Their secondary structure includes four short double-helical elements and three loops (D, anti-codon, and T loops). Lineage: Bacteria; Bacillati; Actinomycetota; Actinomycetes; Bifidobacteriales; Bifidobacteriaceae. The record is from RNAcentral.
GCGCGCGUGGCGGAAUGGUAGACGCGCUGGCUUCAGGUGCCAGUGGCCGCUAAGGCCGUGGGGGUUCAACUCCCCCCGCGCGCACGA